AUAUGGGGGGACCAUCCUCCAAGGCUAAAUACUCCUGACUGACCGAUAGUGAACCAGUACCGUGAGGGAAAGGCGAAAAGAACCCCGGCGAGGGGAGUGAAAAAGAACCUGAAACCGUGUACGUACAAGCAGUGGGAGCACCCUUUGGGGUGUGACUGCGUACCUUUUGUAUAAUGGGUCAGCGACUUAUAUUCUGUAGCAAGGUUAACCGAAUAGGGGAGCCGUAGGGAAACCGAGUCUUAACCGGGCGUUAAGUUGCAGGGUAUAGACCCGAAACCCGGUGAUCUAGCCAUGGGCAGGUUGAAGGUUGGGUAACACUAACUGGAGGACCGAACCGACUAAUGUUGAAAAAUUAGCGGAUGACCUGUGGCUGGGGGUGAAAGGCCAAUCAAACCGGGAGAUAGCUGGUUCUCCCCGAAAGCUAUUUAGGUAGCGCCUCGUGAAUUCAUCUCCGGGGGUAGAGCACUGUUUCGGCUAGGGGGCCAUCCCGGCUUACCAACCCGAUGCAAACUGCGAAUACCGGAGAAUGUUAUCACGGGAGACACACGGCGGGUGCUAACGUCCGUCGUGAAGAGGGAAACAACCCAGACCGCCAGCUAAGGUCCCAAAGUCAUGGUUAAGUGGGAAACGAUGUGGGAAGGCCCAGACAGCCAGGAUGUUGGCUUAGAAGCAGCCAUCAUUUAAAGAAAGCGUAAUAGCUCACUGGUCGAGUCGGCCUGCGCGGAAGAUGUAACGGGGCUAAACCAU
RNAcentral lists this ribosomal RNA (747 nucleotides) under Salmonella enterica subsp. enterica. RNAcentral describes it as "partial 23S ribosomal RNA". It matches the Rfam family "Bacterial large subunit ribosomal RNA", at positions 442 to 1190 of the family's 2925-position model. The record is from RNAcentral. Lineage: Bacteria; Pseudomonadati; Pseudomonadota; Gammaproteobacteria; Enterobacterales; Enterobacteriaceae.